Molecule: ribosomal RNA, 477 nt
Filed under: uncultured bacterium
Lineage: Bacteria
Description: partial 16S ribosomal RNA
Rfam family: Bacterial small subunit ribosomal RNA
Source: RNAcentral
GAGGAAAGCUAGAGGCGGGCCUAAUACAUGCAAGUCGAACGGGAAAGGUGGCAACACCUUGAGAGUGGCGUACGGGUGCGUAACGCGUAUACAACCUGCCUGUUACACGGGGAUAGCCUUGCGAAAGCGAGAUUAAUACCCGAUGGUACUAUUGAGCGGCAUCGCUUGGUAGUUAAAGCUGAGGCGGUAACAGAGGGGUAUGCGUCCCAUUAGCUAGUUGGUAGUGUAACGGACUACCAAGGCGACGAUGGGUAGGGGUUCUGAGAGGAUGAUCCCCCACACUGGUACUGAGAUACGGACCAGACUCCUACGGGAGGCAGCAGUAGGGAAUAUUGGGCAAUGGACGGAAGUCUGACCCAGCCACGCCGCGUGCAGGAAGAAGGUCCUCUGGAUUGUAAACUGCUUUUCUUGGGGAAGAAAACCCUUCUGCGGAAGGAAUUGACGGUACUCAAGGAAUAAGCAUCGGCUAACUCCGUG